GCAUGUAGCUCAGUUGGUUAGAGCAUGGUGCUGAUAAUGCCAAGGUUGCAUUUCCAAUCCCUGUUAGGGACAGCUGCA
Non-coding RNA from Podarcis lilfordi (Lilford's wall lizard), 78 nucleotides. The record is from the annotation of a GenBank genome assembly. Lineage: Eukaryota; Metazoa; Chordata; Lepidosauria; Squamata; Lacertidae.